Molecule: ribosomal RNA, 253 nt
Filed under: uncultured bacterium
Lineage: Bacteria
Description: partial 16S ribosomal RNA
Rfam family: Bacterial small subunit ribosomal RNA
Source: RNAcentral
UACGUAGGGGGCGAGCGUUGUCCGGAAUCAUUGGGCGUAAAGGGCGCGUAGGCGGCUUGGCAAGUGGAUGGUGAAAUCCCUCGGCUUAACCGAGGAACUGCCGUCCAAACUGCUUCGCUUGAGACCGGGAGAGGUGAGUGGAAUUCCCAGUGUAGCGGUGAAAUGCGUAGAUAUUGGGAGGAACACCAGUGGCGAAGGCGGCUCACUGGACCGGUACUGACGCUGAUGCGCGAAAGCGUGGGGAGCAAACGGG